This 253-nucleotide ribosomal RNA is filed under the name uncultured bacterium. RNAcentral describes it as "partial 16S ribosomal RNA". It matches the Rfam family "Bacterial small subunit ribosomal RNA", at positions 524 to 776 of the family's 1533-position model. The record is from RNAcentral.
UACGAAGGGGGCUAGCGUUGUUCGGAAUUACUGGGCGUAAAGCGCACGUAGGCGGAUUGUUAAGUCGGGGGUGAAAUCCUGAGGCUCAACCUCAGAACUGCCUUCGAUACUGGCAAUCUCGAGUCCGGAAGAGGUUGGUGGAACAGCUAGUGUAGAGGUGAAAUUCGUAGAUAUCAGGAGGAACACCAGUGGCGAAGGCGGCUUUCUGGACGAUUACUGACGCUGAGACGCGAAAGCGUGGGGAGCAAACAGG